GUCAACCUUUUCUCCCAGAUCUCUUUCUCUUCUCGAUCGGUAUAUUCAAAAUCAUUCUCAAUUAUUCUUCUAUUGCUUUUUACGAUCCAGGUCUGCAUUCCUGUCGGCUUUUAAGAAAAGUUAUCGGCGACGGCAACAUGACAUCGACGAAGCUUAACAUUACUGCCGAUUCGGCUUCCAUUCCUCCCAAUUUACACAAAAACCUAUCUCAUCUCUCCUCUCAACAGGUAGAAUUGGCGAAAGUGUUGAUAGAGAUGGGGCAAACUCACUUGUUUCAGCAUUGGGCGGAACCUGGAGUUGAUGAUGAUGAGAAGCGAGCUUUCUUUGAUCAGAUUGCUAAACUUAAUUCAAGUUACCCUGGGGGGUUGGCAGCAUACAUUAACACUGCUAGGAAGCUUUUAGCUGAUUCAAAGACUGGAAAAAACCCGUAUGAUGGUUUUACACCUUCGGUUCCAUCUGGAGAGGUUCUGAAAUAUGGUGACGAUAAUUUUGUUCAAUUUGAGGAGGCUGGCAUCAAAGAUGCACGGAAGGCUGCAUUUGUGCUUGUUGCUGGAGGCCUCGGAGAGCGUCUUGGGUACAAUGGGAUAAAGGUGGCCCUUCCUAGAGAAACAACUACAGGGACAUGCUUCUUACAACAUUAUAUCGAAUCUAUUCUUGCUUUGCAAGAAGCCAGUUGCAGCCUUGCCGGAGGCGACUGCCGAGCAGAGAUUCCUCUGGCUAUUAUGACGUCAGAUGACACACAUUUACGUACUCUGGAGCUCUUAGAGAAAAACUCUUAUUUUGGAAUGAAACCCACACAAGUGAAACUGCUUAAGCAGGAAAAAGUUGCUUGUUUAGAUGAUAAUGAAGCACACCUUGCUUUGGAUCCCCGUAAUAAAUAUAGAAUUCAGACAAAACCUCAUGGCCAUGGUGACGUCCAUUCACUUCUUUACUCAAGUGGCCUUCUUAAAGUUUGGCAUGAUGCAGGCUUAAGAUGGGUCCUUUUUUUCCAGGACACCAACGGUCUACUUUUCAAGGCAAUUCCCGCAGCACUAGGCGUCAGUACAACAAAACAAUACCAUGUCAAUUCUCUCGCUGUUCCUCGGAAAGCAAAAGAAGCCAUUGGUGGCAUUACCAAGCUUACUCAUCAAGAUGGGCGAACGAUGGUGAUUAAUGUGGAAUAUAACCAGCUUGAUCCAUUGCUUAGAGCUUCUGGAUAUCCUGAUGGCGAUGUCAAUUCUGAAACAGGCUAUUCACCUUUUCCUGGAAAUAUAAAUCAAUUGAUCUUUGAAAUUGGCCCAUACCUUGAAGAGCUCACAAGAACAGGAGGUGCGAUCUCGGAGUUUGUUAACCCUAAGUACAAAGAUGCUACCAAAACUGCUUUUAAGUCUUCAACUCGUCUUGAAUGCAUGAUGCAAGAUUAUCCUAAAACGCUACCUCCCACAGCUAGAGUUGGAUUCACUGUGAUGGAUGCUUGGCUUGCUUAUGCACCCGUGAAAAACAACCCAGAAGAUGCUGCCAAGGUGCCAAAAGGAAAUCCUUACCACAGUGCCACUUCGGGAGAAAUGGCCAUAUAUCGCUCUCACAGCCUCAUUCUAAGAGAGGCUGGUGUUAAGAUAGAUGAUCCGGUUAUCCAAGUAUUUAACGGGCAGGAGGUAGAGGUAUGGUCUCGAGUUGUAUGGAAGCCGAAAUGGGCGCUUACUUUCUCAGAAGUAAAACGUAAAGUGAGUGGAAACUGUUCUAUUUCACAAAGGUCUACAAUGGCGAUCAAGGGGAGUAAUAUUGCCCUUGAGGAUCUUUCCCUGGAUGGGGCUCUCAUUGUAGAGGCUGUUGAUGGUGCCGAGGUCAAAGUGGGAGGUUCCGUGCAGAACAAGGGUUGGACAAUUGAAAAUGUCGACUAUAAGGAUACUUCAAUACCAGAAGAAAUAAGAAUCAGGGGCUUCAAAUUCGACAAGGUAGAGCAGUUGGAGAAAACAUAUACCGAGCCCGGUAAAUAUUCUUUGAAGCCAUAAGAUUGACACAUUCCAUACUCAGCUUGAAGAUUUUGAGCUCAAGUUCUGAAAGUAACUGGCUGGCCAGGUGGAGGGACAUUUAUUAAAGUAACAAGAAUCCAUUUACUAUUACAACAACUUUAGCUUCAUCGUUUCUUCCGGUUGAUGUGAGGGGAAUAUUGACGGUUCCAAAUCGAAUCGAAAUUGAUAAUUAGGAAAAAAAAAUAUUGGUUUAUUAAUAAUGAGCUAUUGAUUUUGCAGUUU
This is an RNA transcript of Solanum lycopersicum (tomato), 2234 nucleotides long. It is a transcript of the gene named UDP-sugar pyrophosphorylase, with no coding region annotated. The record is from RefSeq and is a predicted model, not a curated record. NCBI's taxonomy places the organism in Eukaryota, Viridiplantae, Streptophyta, Magnoliopsida, Solanales, Solanaceae.